GUUUACGGCCAUACCAGCCUGGGUACGCCCGAUCUCGUCUGAUCUCGGAAGCUAAGCAGGUUCGGGCCUGGUUAGUACUUGGAUGGGAGACCGCCUGGGAAUACCAGGUGCUGUAAACU
Molecule: ribosomal RNA, 119 nt
Organism: Salmo trutta (river trout)
Lineage: Eukaryota; Metazoa; Chordata; Actinopteri; Salmoniformes; Salmonidae
Source: Ensembl